AUCCAGAUGAAAAGUCCCAAGUAGGACGAAAUUCACAUCCUGGAU
Molecule: non-coding RNA, 45 nt
Filed under: Trichobilharzia regenti
Lineage: Eukaryota; Metazoa; Platyhelminthes; Trematoda; Strigeidida; Schistosomatidae
Source: RNAcentral